RNAcentral lists this ribosomal RNA (382 nucleotides) under uncultured eukaryote. RNAcentral describes it as "partial 18S ribosomal RNA". It matches the Rfam family "Eukaryotic small subunit ribosomal RNA", at positions 592 to 976 of the family's 1831-position model. The record is from RNAcentral.
UGUAAGCGUAUACCAAAGUUGUUGCAGUUAAAACGCUCGUAGUCGGACUUUGGCAGUUCCGGAUGUGUGCACGUCGUGUGCGCACUUCGCGGGGAUUGCUUUUGUGGUCUUGCGUAGGAUGAGGCACUUUUAUCAGUGAACGUCCUCACGCAACCACUUUUUACUGUGAGAAAAUCAGAGUGCUCAAAGCAGGCAUUUGCCGUGAAUGUAUUAGCAUGGAAUAAUAGAAUAGGACUUGGUUCUAUUUUGUUGGUUUGUUGGGACUGAGUAAUGAUUAAGAGGGACAGUUGGGGGCAUUUGUAUUUCGGUGCUAGAGGUGAAAUUCUUAGAUUACCGAAAGACAAACUGCUGCGAAAGCGUCUGCCAAGGAUGUUUUCAUUGA